RNAcentral lists this ribosomal RNA (487 nucleotides) under uncultured bacterium. RNAcentral describes it as "bacterial SSU rRNA". It matches the Rfam family "Bacterial small subunit ribosomal RNA", at positions 30 to 507 of the family's 1533-position model. The record is from RNAcentral.
AUUGAACGCUGGCGGCAUGCCUAACACAUGCAAGUCGAACGCGAAAAGUUCCUUCGGGGGCGAGUAGAGUGGCGGACGGGUGAGUAACGCGUGGGAAUCUGCCUCGUAGUGGGGGACAACCCGGGGAAACUCGGGCUAACACCGCAUACGUCCUACGGGAGAAAGAGGGCCUCUGCUUGCACGCUCUCGCUAUGAGAUGAGCCCGCGUCGGAUUAGCUUGUUGGUAGGGUAAAAGCCUACCAAGGCGACGAUCCGUAGCUGGUCUGAGAGGAUGAUCAGCCACACUGGGACUGAGACACGGCCCAGACUCCUACGGGAGGCAGCAGUGGGGAAUAUUGGACAAUGGGCGCAAGCCUGAUCCAGCAAUGCCGCGUGUGUGAAGAAGGCCUGCGGGUUGUAAAGCACUUUCAGUCCGGAAGAAAAAGCCUUGGGUUAAUACCUCAGGGCCCUGACGUUACCGACAGAAGAAGCACCGGCUAACUCCGUG